UCGCCUACGGGGGGCAGCAGAGGGGGAUAUUGCACAAUGGGGGAAACCCUGAUGAAGCGACGCCGCGUGGGUGAAGAAGCGCCUCGGCGCGUAAAGCCCUGUCAGCAGGGAAGAAAAUGACGGUACCUGAAGAAGAAGCCCCGGCUAACUACGUGCCAGCAGCCGCGGUAAUACGUAGGGGGCAAGCGUUAUCCGGAUUUACUGGGUGUAAAGGGGGCGCAGACGGCGAUGCAAGCGAGGAGUGAAAGCCAGGGGCGCA
RNAcentral lists this ribosomal RNA (259 nucleotides) under uncultured bacterium. RNAcentral describes it as "partial 16S ribosomal RNA". It matches the Rfam family "Bacterial small subunit ribosomal RNA", at positions 335 to 611 of the family's 1533-position model. The record is from RNAcentral.